CAAUGCGUUCUGUGGGAUUCUUGGGACCCUCUUUGGGAAACACUGUCUGAUGCUGACAACAGAAUCUGUCGGAAGAGGAAAGGCUGACUCUGGACCCCGGGAGAGGACCGCUCAUGCCAAGAUCAAGCAGCCACGUGAGGGGGCAUCCAUCCUGAGAGGUCCAUGCCGAUGUCACUGGUUAGGAAACUCCUGGAAAAUACCACACACCCCACACUCAGCCGGAAAGGGGUGCGGAGCAUGGAAACGCACAUCAGGAGGCUGCCGCCCAGAGCUUGGAAAUGCACAUCAGGAAGCCUCCGACUUCAUUUCCCCUCCUUCGAAAGAGGGACUUCUCUCGGUGAUCUGCAUGGCUCCUCCACGGCCACAUCUGGAGGGUUUGAGGGAUGGCCUCCUAUUCCAUGAUCAUGAACAGGGGACUGGAAUGAAUGAGAUCUUAUAUGAACUCUUAACGGGGAGGAAGAGGAUCAGGCUUCCUGGACGUGAUGUACAAGGCUCAUGUGUACUGCAGUGGAAGUGCAGAGUUGUAACCGCUGGACCCCCAGGGAAGUUCCAGUGCGUGCUUUUCUUUGUGUGAGUUCUAGUUCAAGGUCAUGGGAUGAGAACCAAAUCAAUAGGAUUUCCACUCAAACAGCUCCUUCCAUAAGUGCUGUUUUUAAUCAUUUUUCUUCAUGUUAUGAUGGUAUAAAUAUUAUUUAAAAACCUAUUUAAUAUGCUGAUUAUUUCCUUACAUAGCUGGGAGAGGACUAUGCUUGGAAACGUAACUUCUAAGCCUAUUUCUGCCUUGUUAUAAUGGAGAUAGUACCAAGUAUUUCCCAAGAGUGCUGGCAGUGAAAUUUUAAAAAUCUAUAAAUCACUCGGCAUAGGGUAAAUUCUAUGUAGUAAAUGCCCUAGAAAUAUAUUAGUAUU
RNAcentral lists this long non-coding RNA (906 nucleotides) under Capra hircus (goat). Its description in RNAcentral is "lncRNA (ENSCHIG00000007796.1)". Lineage: Eukaryota; Metazoa; Chordata; Mammalia; Artiodactyla; Bovidae. The record is from RNAcentral.